This 1001-nucleotide long non-coding RNA is filed under the name Triticum aestivum (bread wheat). Its description in RNAcentral is "long non-coding RNA (TAES_LNC002591)". Lineage: Eukaryota; Viridiplantae; Streptophyta; Magnoliopsida; Poales; Poaceae. The record is from RNAcentral.
UUGCAGCGGCGUGGCUGCAGCCCGUGGUCGGCCGGUCUUCUCGCGGCACCGGCGGGACUUGCUCCGGCGUGUGGUUGUCUGCGGCUUACUCGGGUGAGAUUCCUUCCUCCCCUACGGACUCAGGGACGGGCGCGACAGGCAGGGGUGGUUCCAUGGUGAGGUGUUGGUGUGCCGGUGGGCUUGCCGGAGGUGGCUGUGGACUUAGGGUAGGGGGCAGGGGUUCCCCUCCGUUGCAUCUGGCGGCUGCUCCGUGGCCGCCGGAGUUCCUCUGGCCCAGAUCUGGCCGCCGAGGCCACCAACCCUGCCAAGGUUUCCGCUUUGGGGUGGAAAGUCUACUCCUUUCCGGUCGGUCGUGUCGGUACUGUGUGUCCGUGGUCGAGGAUGGGGCUCGGAUGCUUGGGCGGCGGCCCUGCUGGUGGGAGCCGGGGUGCUUGUGGGCGUAGCACGCGGCUCGGGCGCUGUCCGAUCACCAUGGCCGUGUGGGCGGCAUGGUGGCCGGGGUGUGUCGUUCAAUGGUGGUGGUGCGGCUGUCCGUACCCCAAUUUGGUGACAGUGAGUGUUGGCCGGGGUGAAAACCCGCUCUGUCUUGUCAGGCCGGCGGUGGCGGCGUUCCAGCGUCGUUCCCUUCUUGAAGGCGUCGUCGCGGUAUCUCGCUUGUAACCGUGGUGCUCCGGGGGAAACCCUAAUCCUUGGAUUGGGUGGUGGCGGCGAUCCGGCGUCGUUCCCUUCUUGAAGGCACCGCCUUGGAGCCCAUUGUUCGUCAUGCACGGCUUCUCCUCAUCAUGGUGAUUCUUCCACGGUUGAGGGCUCCGACAACUUCAAAGUAGUGCUUAGGGUUUUAUCCGUUGUUUGCUUGGAGUAGUUUGGGGUGAUGUUGCUGUUUUCAGCGUCCUUGUAUCUGCCUCGGGUGUGUGUGUUGUGUUGGUGUGGGGUGUGUGUUUGUAUCGACUUGCUCGAUGAUUGUUGCUUUAUUUAUAAAGCGGGGGAAACCCUUUUUCUCA